GGUUAAGCGACUAAGCGUACACGGUGGAUGCCCUGGCAGUCAGAGGCGAUGAAGGGCGUGCUAAUCUGCGAUAAGCGCCGGUAAGGUGAUAUGAACCGUUAUAACCGGCGAUACCCGAAUGGGGAAACCCAGUGUGACUCGUCACACUAUCAUUAACUGAAUCCAUAGGUUAAUGAGGCGAACCGGGGGAACUGAAACAUCUAAGUACCCCGAGGAAAAGAAAUCAACCGAGAUUCCCCCAGUAGCGGCGAGCGAACGGGGAGGAGCCCAGAGCCUGAAUCAGCAUGUGUGUUAGUGGAAGCGUCUGGAAAGGCGCGCGAUACAGGGUGACAGCCCCGUACACAAAAGCGCAUGUGCUGUGAGCUCGAUGAGUAGGGCGGGACACGUGGUAUCCUGUCUGAAUAUGGGGGGACCAUCCUCCAAGGCUAAAUACUCCUGACUGACCGAUAGUGAACCAGUACCGUGAGGGAAAGGCGAAAAGAACCCCGGCGAGGGGAGUGAAAAAGAACCUGAAACCGUGUACGUACAAGCAGUGGGAGCCCCACCACUAAGCCAGUGGUGAACUCCACAUACGCAUCCUUUGCUGAGGAUACGGUUAACGGAGCGAAAGCGACGUUCAACCGCAAAAGAAGCAGAGGGGGCUUAGUGGUGGGGUGACUGCGUACCUUUUGUAUAAUGGGUCAGCGACUUAUAUUCUGUAGCAAGGUUAACCGAAUAGGGGAGCCGGAGGGAAACCGAGUCUUAAUUGGGCGUUAAGUUGCAGGGUAUAGACC
This 773-nucleotide ribosomal RNA is filed under the name Salmonella enterica. RNAcentral's name for it is "partial 23S ribosomal RNA". It matches the Rfam family "Bacterial large subunit ribosomal RNA", at positions 1 to 715 of the family's 2925-position model. The record is from RNAcentral. Lineage: Bacteria; Pseudomonadati; Pseudomonadota; Gammaproteobacteria; Enterobacterales; Enterobacteriaceae.